GGCAUGAUGGCAUGCUUUGUGUCCUUCCACUGACUGGUGAUGUUGUUUUUUCUGCAGCUGAUU
This 63-nucleotide small nucleolar RNA is filed under the name Euglena gracilis. RNAcentral's name for it is "Eg-m106.2 box C/D methylation-guide". Lineage: Eukaryota; Euglenozoa; Euglenophyceae; Euglenales; Euglenaceae. The record is from RNAcentral.